RNA transcript from Lotus japonicus, 3550 nucleotides. It is a transcript of the gene named alpha-amylase 3, chloroplastic-like, with no coding region annotated. NCBI's taxonomy places the organism in Eukaryota, Viridiplantae, Streptophyta, Magnoliopsida, Fabales, Fabaceae. The transcript has 13 exons. The record is from RefSeq and is a predicted model, not a curated record.
UGGAUCAAUGUUCCGUUUGGAGCAUUUAUAACCUCUUCCUUCUCGUUUACUUGCAGAAUGAAGAACUAGAAGAACAACAAUACCACCAUGAACAUCUCCUCCACCAGUGUUUUCUCUGAGCCACUCUUCAAAUUCACCCUCACCCACUUCCGCAGAGAACUUCCUCCCAUUCACAAUCACCGUUUCAAGCCCAAGUUAUUUUCUCUCCUUGCCUCUUCCAACCACCAUUCCACCUUCUGCAACUCCUCGCCACCCCACAGGUUUCAAGCUUUUGCGACAAACACUGAUACCCUCGAGUCCCUUCAGUCCGCUGAUGUCCUCUUCAACCAGACUUUCCCCAUCAACAGAAUUGAACUGUUGGAGGGAAAGAUCUUUGUAAGACUAGAUCAAGGGAAGGAUUUGAAAAAUUGGGAGCUUACCGUUGGUUGCAGUUUACCAGGGAAAUGGAUUCUUCACUGGGGAGUUUCCCGUCUGGAUGAUGCUGGAAGUGAAUGGGAUCAACCCCCUGGUAAUAUGAUACCCCCUGGAUCUGUUCCGAUAAAGGACUACGCAAUAGAGACACCUUUGAAGAAAUCAUCGUCAUCUGGUGAAGGAGAUACUUCUCAUGAAGUCCGGAUUGAUAUUAAACCUAACAAUGGAAUUUCAGCGGUUAAUUUUGUUCUCAAGGACAAGGAAACUGGUGCUUGGUAUCAACACAAAGGAAGAGAUUUCAAGGUUCCUUUGGUUAACUACAUCAAGGAGGAUGCUAAUAUAAUUGGACCUAGAAAGAGCUUUAAUCUUUUGGCAGGGGCCUUGGGACAGAUACCUAACAUUCUCCUGAAAUCAGAAGCAACACAUGGCAAAGUUCAAGAUAACAGCAGUGAAUCCAAAAGUCCAAAACAAGAAAGUAGUCAACUGGAAGGUUUCUAUGUAGAACUGCGAAUCACCAAGGAAGUUACUAUCAAUAACUCUAUCAGUGUCUCCAUUAGUAAAUGCUCUGAGACAGCUAAAAAUCUUUUGUAUUUAGAAUCGGAUAUACCUGGAAAUAUCCUGCUUCACUGGGGAGUUUGUAGGGAUGAUGUGAGAAGGUGGGAAGUUCCCCCUGCUCCACAUCCACCAGAAACAGUACCAUUUAAAGACAGAGCUUUGAGAACUCACUUACAGUCAAGAGACAGUGGAGAGGGAAGUUCAGUAGAGAUCUCAUUGGAAGAAGAAUUUUCAGGAUUUCUUUUUGUUCUUAAGUUAAAUGAAAAUACAUGGUUAAAUGACAAGGGAAAUGACUUUUACAUCCCUCUCCCCAGUUCUAGUAGCUUAAUAAUUGGCAGCAAAGAGGAACGAUCAGAAGGUGUGCAUAUGGAAGUGACUGAAAAGGCAGGUGAAGAGGAAUCAACCUCUGCGUUUACUGACGGAAUAAUCAAUGAAAUAAGUCAUUUGGUAACAGACAUUUCCUCUGAGAAGAGUCGAACAACGAAAUCCAAAGAAGCACAAGAAAGAAUUCUUCAAGAAAUUGAAAGGUUGGCUGCUGAAGCUUAUAGUAUCUUCAGAAGCUCUGUUCCAACUUUUUCAGAGGAAACUAUUAUGGAAUCUGAGGUUUCUGUGGAGCCAACUAAACUUAUUUUACCUGACACGCCUCUAAAAGUAUCAUCAGGAACAGGCACGGGGUACGAAAUAUUAUGCCAAGGGUUUAAUUGGGAAUCUCAUAAAUCUGGAAGAUGGUACUUGGAGCUUAAAGAGAAAGCUGCAGAACUAAUGUCUUUAGGCUUCACUGUGAUUUGGUUACCACCACCUACAGAAUCUGUUUCACCAGAAGGAUACAUGCCAAAGGAUUUAUACAAUUUAAAUUCUAGGUAUGGAACCAUUGAUGAACUGAAGGAUGUGGUGAAAAAAUUUCAUGAAGUUGGAAUCAAAGUGCUAGGAGAUGCUGUUAUAAAUCAUCGAUGUGCCCAGUUUAAGAAUCAGAAUGGUAUCUGGAACAUAUUUGGAGGUCGUCUGAACUGGGAUGAUCGGGCAAUUGUAGCUGAUGAUCCCCAUUUUCAGGGGAGGGGCAACAAGAGUAGUGGAGAUAAUUUCCAUGCUGCUCCAAACAUUGAUCAUUCACAGGAAUUUGUAAGAAACGAUCUUAAAGAAUGGUUAUGCUGGAUGAGGAAAGAAAUUGGGUAUGAUGGAUGGAGGCUUGACUUUGUCAGAGGAUUUUGGGGUGGUUAUGUGAAGGAUUACUUGGAUGCAAGUGAACCUUACUUUGCCGUAGGUGAGUACUGGGAUUCUCUCAGUUAUACAUAUGGUGAAAUGGAUCACAACCAAGAUGCACACCGGCAGAGGAUUGUUGACUGGAUAAAUGCUACUGGUGGUACUGCUGGUGCAUUUGAUGUUACUACUAAAGGGAUUCUUCACUCUGCAUUGGAAAGAUGCGAAUAUUGGCGCUUGUCAGAUCAGAAGGGAAAACCCCCUGGUGUUCUUGGAUGGUGGCCAUCACGUGCUGUUAGUUUUAUAGAAAAUCAUGACACUGGUUCUACCCAGGAUGGUUGGCUCUUGGGUAGCUGGAGAGAUUCAAGUUCUUGAGGGAGAAGCAUUGAUCCUUACAAACUAUCUUCCCUAUCUAUCUAUUAUAAUAUAGUAAAACCGAAUCGUGGGUGGAGAUUGCCAACUCAUUGUCAUAUUAUCAUGUUUUUACCACAUCAAAUAUUUUUGGAGGUGUGACCUCAAUAUUUUACCUUGCACUUCAUACAAAAUUGUAGGUCACAAUUUGGAGCAUGGGAUGCUGAAUUGCAAGGGGAUCAUCCUUAAUAGUAGUGCCCUCAAUGUGUUUAAGACUUCAAGUCCCUAGCAGGCCUCUAUUGUGGUAGUGUAAAUAAAUUGUGGCCCAUUGUAGGUAGUUGCAUCGUUAAGAUGAUAGCUGGUGUGUAGGACUCGUAGAUCUUUUGGGUUGCGGGGUGCGGUUGGAAUAGGAAAGGAUUUUUCAAGAUUAUGAAGUAAAAACUUUUGUCAUCUGACAUGGUGAUUGAUGCCUUAAGGUUUUCAAUGUGUACAUUUUGUUUGAUAAAGGACAACCUGAACAAGUGAAGCUCAAGUCUGUUGGUCCCUUGAAUUCGGGUUAAGGCCUAACUCUAACCUAAGAUGAUAGCUGGUGUGUAGGACUCGUAGAUCUUUUGGAUCGAGGGGUGUGAAUAGAAUAGGAACGGUUUUUUCAAGAGUAUGAAUGUUAGAUCUUAGACUCUGAGUUACGAAAUGGACCUUAAUGGUGUCUGAAAUGAAGAGAACAGGCAACUCUGAGUAAGUUGGGACUGGCACGACAAUGAAUGGAUCUUAGACUCUUGGUGCUUAUUACGUGUGCACACUGUUGAAAAAACUAGAGAAUGGGCUAAAAAUGAAAGUAAGGGCCAGCGGCUUGAUAUGAAGAAUAGGUGCUUGCUCUGGUACCUUAAGCCAGCUUAAGGGUCAUUGGAGAUUUCCCAGUGGAAAAGAAAUGCAAGGAUAUGCAUACAUUCUUAGUCACCCAGGGACUCCAUCAGUGUUCUUCGACCACCUUUUCUCUCACUACAAAACUGAAAUAGCGGCACUUAUCUCUAUCAGG